GGAGAGGUGGCAGAGUGGUCGAAUGCGCCGGUCUUGAAAACCGGAGUGCCUUCACGGGUACCGUGGGUUCGAAUCCCACCCUCUCCG
RNAcentral lists this transfer RNA (87 nucleotides) under Rubrivirga sp. SAORIC476. RNAcentral's name for it is "tRNA-Ser". It matches the Rfam family "tRNA". Rfam says of the family: Transfer RNA (tRNA) molecules are approximately 80 nucleotides in length. Lineage: Bacteria; Pseudomonadati; Rhodothermota; Rhodothermia; Rhodothermales; Rubricoccaceae. The record is from RNAcentral. RNAcentral also lists the same sequence under 1 other name.